Molecule: small nuclear RNA, 106 nt
Filed under: Sciurus vulgaris (Eurasian red squirrel)
Lineage: Eukaryota; Metazoa; Chordata; Mammalia; Rodentia; Sciuridae
Source: RNAcentral
GUGCUAGCUUUAGCAGCACACAUACUAAAAUAGAAAUGAUACAGAGAAGAUUAGCAUCUCCCUGCACAAGGACAAUGUGCAAAUUCAUGAAGCAUUCCAUAAAAAA